GCCACUUGUGUUCACACAUAAAGGGAGGCAACAAAUUUCUGCUCACAAAGGGGACGAUGAGAAGCUGCCGGGGAAAAAUGCCCCGAAUGUCCUGCGGUGAUGGUCAGCAGCUCUCUGAGAGCUGAUUACCAGCUUGACCGGACAGCCCUGGGCAUCCACGGCAAAAGAGUUGAAGACAGAGAGAUACCAGGGAGACUCUGGACAAACAAGACCUAGUGAAUGGCUUCCAGUUUAGUAUAGUUAGAUUCAACUUUUUGUCCUCCAAUUGUAUUUUUCAUGACUGUGGACUUUUCAUUAAAAUUAGCAUAAACAACAAAACAGACUGGUCUGUUUCUUUGGGUUCUUGUUUUCUUUGCAUCUUCUCAAGUCCUGUAAGUCAUAUCAAAUAAAUCUCCAAAUUUUUCUCUUGCUAACCAGUUUUUUGGCAUGGUGGGUUUAAUCAUGAACCCAGUCAGUAAGUCAGGUGCUUAUGCCACUGAGCUAAAUUCCCAGCCCCGGAAACCAGAGAUGGCAGAGAAGACAUCUUUCUGUCCCCUGCAUCAAAGUGGUGCUGACUGCUGGCUGUCUGCUGCAUCUCUCUGCAGUUCCCUUCGUGCAUCCCUGCACCCAGUGCUCCUUGCAGUUGGCUGUGAAUCUGUUCUCCUGGCUAGGAUGGGAUGAUGCCAUCCUGGGAUCACAGCUGAAG
This is a long non-coding RNA of Cavia porcellus (domestic guinea pig), 685 nucleotides long. RefSeq lists it as uncharacterized. The transcript has 3 exons. NCBI's taxonomy places the organism in Eukaryota, Metazoa, Chordata, Mammalia, Rodentia, Caviidae. The record is from RefSeq and is a predicted model, not a curated record.